GACGAACGCUGGCGGCGUGCCUAAUACAUGCAAGUUGAGCGCUGAAGGUUGGUACUUGUACCAACUGGAUGAGCAGCGCACGGGUGAGUAACGCGUGGGGAAUCUGCCUUUGAGCGGGGGACAACAUGUGGAAACGAAUGCUAAUACCGCAUAAAAACUUUAAACACAAGUUUUAAGUGUGAAAGAUGCAAUUGCAUCACUCAAAGAUGAUCCCGCGUUGUAUUGGCUAGUUGGUGAGGUAAAGGCUCACCGAGGCGAUGAGACAUAGCCGACCUGAGAGGGUGAUCGGCCACAUUGGGAGUGGGACACGGCCCAAACUCCUACGGGAGGCAGCAGUAGGGAAUCUUCGGCAAUGGACGAAAGUCUGACCGAGCAACGGCGCGUGAGUGAAGAAGGUGUUCGGAUCGUAAAACUCUGUUGGUAGAGAAGAACGUUGGUGAGAGUGGAAAGCUCAUCAAGUGACGGUAACUACCCAGAAAGGGACGGCUAACUACGU
Molecule: ribosomal RNA, 496 nt
Filed under: uncultured bacterium
Lineage: Bacteria
Description: partial 16S ribosomal RNA
Rfam family: Bacterial small subunit ribosomal RNA
Source: RNAcentral